This 253-nucleotide ribosomal RNA is filed under the name uncultured bacterium. RNAcentral's name for it is "partial 16S ribosomal RNA". It matches the Rfam family "Bacterial small subunit ribosomal RNA", at positions 524 to 776 of the family's 1533-position model. The record is from RNAcentral.
UACAGAGGGUGCAAGCGUUAAUCGGAAUUACUGGGCGUAAAGAGCACGUAGGUGGUCCUGCAAGUCAGAUGUGAAAGCCCCAGGCUUAACCUGGGAACUGCAUUUGAUACUGCGAGACUAGAGUAGGAUAGAGGAAGGCGGAAUUUCCGGUGUAGCGGUGAAAUGCGUAGAUAUCGGAAGGAACACCAGUGGCGAAGGCGGCUUUCUGGAUUCAUACUGACACUGAGGUGCGAAAGCGUGGGGAGCAAACAGG